This 267-nucleotide long non-coding RNA is filed under the name Nicotiana benthamiana. Its description in RNAcentral is "long non-coding RNA (NBEN_LNC019729)". The record is from RNAcentral. Lineage: Eukaryota; Viridiplantae; Streptophyta; Magnoliopsida; Solanales; Solanaceae.
GUCGAUAGUAGCCGUGGUAGUAAUGCCCCGGAGCCCAGCUACCGACCCGAGGCGCCGAUCGGGAAAGUCAUAAAGGGACGUUAAACGUAAUUCUAGAAGGGCCUUCCCGCAAAAAAACCGAGUAAGUGAAAGUUUUUUAGACUAGUCCCACUAAGAUGGCGAGGAAACUGACUUCCGAGAGAGCUGCUUUCGCCUCGGUAAUUACCUAACGAGAGAGAGCCGAUGCAAAAGUAGUCCUUUACGCGAGGAAACGCCAGACUGACCUCU